CCUACGGGAGGCAGCAGUGGGGAAUUUUGGACAAUGGGCGCAAGCCUGAUCCAGCCAUGCCGCGUGUGGGAAGAAGGCCUUCGGGUUGUAAACCACUUUUGUCAGGGAAGAAACGGCCUUUACUAAUAUUAGGGGCUAAUGACGGUACCUGAAGAAUAAGCACCGGCUAACUACGUGCCAGCAGCCGCGGUAAUACGUAGGGUGCAAGCGUUAAUCGGAAUUACUGGGCGUAAAGCGUGCGCAGGCGGCUUUGCAAGACAGAUGUGAAAUCCCCGGGCUCAACCUGGGAACUGCAUUUGUGACUGCAUGGCUAGAGUACGGUAGAGGGGGAUGGAAUUCCGCGUGUAGCAGUGAAAUGCGUAGAUAUGCGGAGGAACACCGAUGGCGAAGGCAAUCCCCUGGACCUGUACUGACGCUCAUGCACGAAAGCGUGGGGAGCAAACAGGAUUAGAUACCCUGGUAGUCCACGCCCUAAACGAUGUCAACUGGUUGUUGGACGGCUUGCUGUUCAGUACGAAGCUAACGCGUGAAGUUGACCGCCUGGGGAGUCGGCCGCAAGGUUGAAACUUAAUGAAUUGACGGCUGGAGAGUAGCGACGGACGACGACGAGGGAGGAGG
This 618-nucleotide ribosomal RNA is filed under the name uncultured bacterium. RNAcentral's name for it is "bacterial SSU rRNA". It matches the Rfam family "Bacterial small subunit ribosomal RNA", at positions 338 to 954 of the family's 1533-position model. The record is from RNAcentral.